This is a long non-coding RNA of Cyprinus carpio (common carp), 1342 nucleotides long. RefSeq lists it as uncharacterized. The record is from RefSeq and is a predicted model, not a curated record. Lineage: Eukaryota; Metazoa; Chordata; Actinopteri; Cypriniformes; Cyprinidae.
AGCUUGAAGAGGAUACAGUGAAUGUAAAUCUGACUGUUGGGGAAGCUAUGUGUUUCAGAGUGUGCUGAAGAGGAAUUGAGGAUUGAAUAUCCCCCACGGGAGUGUAACGAAUGGAUUGAGACCUCUGAUCAGCCUUACCAAUCCCUUACCUGUCUAUUUACCGUCUGAGUCCUGGAAGUAUGCAGCAUCGCUGGUGAAGUAAGCUUUUAAGCCACUGUCUCACUCACGUGCACCGACGCCAGUAUCCUGUACUGAGAAGACUUCUUACCUCUCUACGUACUGUCUGAGUCCUGGAAGUACGCAGCAUCGCUGAAGAAGUAAGCUUUUAAAUCACUCUUUCUCUAAUGUGCCCCGACAAAAGUAUUCUGUACUGCGAGGGAUCCUUACCUGUCUACUCACCGUCAGAGUCCCGAAGGAUGCAGUAUUUCUGCCCUAGGAAGGAACAUAUUGCUGUGGGGAAAUUCUUGCCUUCUUACUUACCGUCUGAGUCUGGAAGUAUGCAGCAUUGCUGAGGAAGCAAGCUUUUAAAUCACUCUUUCUCUAAUGUGCCCUGACGAAAGUAUUCUGUACUGCGAAGAACCCUGACCUGUCUACUCACCGACGGAGUCCUGAAGAAUGCAGCAUUGUUGGUGAAGUAAUCUUUUAAACCACUGUCUCACUACUGUGUAUUGACGCAAGUAUCCUUGACUGAGAAGUAUCCUUAUCUGUAGACUCACUGCCCGAGUCUUGAAGAGAGCCGCCCUAUUGGUGAAGUCGCUGUCAGGGCGAAACUGCGACGUACGAUCAGUACCUAUCCGUAGCUGAAGAAGACCUAGAGGACACUGAAGUCUAUCACGCUUGUGGUCAUUGAUAUAUUGUGCUCAAUAAAGAUUGUUAUUCCUUUAAAGUUACCUCUUGUCUGCAUUGUCCAUCUGUUGCGGAACUGGUGUCGGCUCCUCACGGUGGGGUCUAAGUAAGGGGUGGCUGGUCAUCCGAGUCCACCCCGGUGACAUAAAGUGGCGUAGUCGGCAGGGUUCCCACCGUGAGUUGUAGCGGCCACAGGUACGCGAUGGUGGACGAAGAGGCACCAGCGGCUCGUCCGCAAGUCAUGCCGAUCUUUAUGGGAGCUCCCUGGGCACAGCGUUAUGGAGGGCCAGGAUCGGAGUUAGGCUUGCACUAUUGGAAGGCGCAGACGGAAUAUCUGGCCGGAUUACAGGGACUGAGUGCAUCACAGAAAGUACAGUUUGUGUUGGGAUCUUUGGAAGGAGAAGCCAAAAGAGAAGUUCUUGCUGCAUCAGAAGCCACACGGGCUACCGCGAAAACUAUCUUUGAUUUCUUGUCAGGACUAUAUGGAGACUCUACC